Cynoglossus semilaevis (tongue sole) is the source of this 864-nucleotide long non-coding RNA. RefSeq lists it as uncharacterized. NCBI's taxonomy places the organism in Eukaryota, Metazoa, Chordata, Actinopteri, Pleuronectiformes, Cynoglossidae. The record is from RefSeq and is a predicted model, not a curated record. The transcript is spliced from 3 exons.
GUGUGCAGGUGCACUUCAUUAAAAUCAAUUCAUGAGUAACUGACAAACAGCAACACUUGACAGUUUAACUGCGUCGCUUUAAAUAUAUAGACUUUUAUUUUUAUUUUUUGUUUUUAUACCAUGGUAGCCAUUUAACAAAGAAGGACAGCCGUGGACUGAACUGACGUUCGUCUUCGUGUACGGCAAGAGAAGUAGCAACUCCCCAAGAGGAUUCCAGUGUGAGUGUAGCUUCAUUAAUCUCCCUGCGUCACUGGAGUUGUCCAAUCUAAAAGGGGGCCAUGGAGAACAAGCAGCUCCCCCGAGGAGUCCCUCCGUUUAGCCUCCACACACUCAGGCCUGAACAUUGAAAUAGCAGAUAGAGGACACGGGAUAAAUUACUGUGCACGUCGUUGUGUGGAUGCAUGCACUUCAUGAUUGGAAAUGUCAUACAUGACAGAGUCGCCGUGCUCUGCUGCCUGAAAGAUGUUGAUAGGCCUGCUGGUUGUAGUGCUCAUCCAAGCACCAAAGUUCUUCACCUUCAGUUGUCAUGCAGUUACUUAGACCAUUUAAGUGUUUUUUCAUUUCAUGUUGUCAUUUCUUUAGUUUAAAAAAAAGUCCCAGAAUAAGGGAUUAGAAAAAGAUGUGACGGAUAAACUUAGAGCUGUGGCUAAUAAUUUGUCUGCAAUUAAAUAUUUUAUCAAUUAUUUAAUAAGUUAAUCAUCGAACACUCAUAAUUGCACACUGCAUUCUAGUUGAAGUAGGUUUAUUUAAUUUACAUUCUCAUAGACAAACUCAGUUAUACUUCAUGGUCAGAAAAACUGCAUUUUUGUUAAUUCCAAAGAUUUGGCUUUAAUUACCUUAAUAACCUUUAAUCACUUAUUUUUA